UUUCCAUGAUGAAACACAAAAAUUUCAGUUCUGCUUCUGCAAUCUCUUUGAAGAUAACCCUUUUACCAAACGAUACAUACUUAUCUGAUUU
This 91-nucleotide small nucleolar RNA is filed under the name Phaeomoniella chlamydospora. Lineage: Eukaryota; Fungi; Ascomycota; Eurotiomycetes; Phaeomoniellales; Phaeomoniellaceae. The record is from RNAcentral.